CUGCUAAUUGGAUUCACAUGCCUGAAUUGAGGUUUUCACAUGAGUUCUAGGCCUAGAAACUUCUGUCCAAGUUGCCCCUCUGAUUGGUCAGGACCCAGAAGAUUCUAUUCAUUUUGCCCCUUCAUAGAACAGUAGAGUUGGAAGGGGCCUACAAGGCCAUCAAGUCCAACCCCCUGCUCAAUGCAGGAAUCCGAAUCAAAACAUUCCUGACAGAUUGCUGUCCAGCUGCCUCUUGAAUGCCUCCAGUGUCGGAGAGCCCACUACCUCUCUAGGAGCUCAGGUGUAGGUCCAGCACCUUGGCCCCUUUUGGCUGCAACGCUACUGAGGAAUCUUUUUGGCUUAAAGCUUGGUAUUGAUUGACUACAACUCCAAGCAGCCCAAGCAAGUAUGGCCAAUGGUCUAAACAUCUGGAGGACACCUGGUUGGAAAAGGCUGAUGCCACUGAAAAGAAUACAUGAUCUUCACCUGUUUAAAUAUCGUUCUGUUACCUCCCCUGUAUUGAAUUUGAGAUUGUAAGCUCCUCAGGGUAGGGAUCUGAUCUCUUAAAUUUUGUAAAGCACCAUGUAUACUGAUGGUGCUGUAUAAAUAAAUGAUAUAUUAUCAGA
Rhineura floridana is the source of this 605-nucleotide long non-coding RNA. RefSeq lists it as uncharacterized. The record is from RefSeq and is a predicted model, not a curated record. The transcript has 3 exons. Lineage: Eukaryota; Metazoa; Chordata; Lepidosauria; Squamata; Rhineuridae.